This 499-nucleotide ribosomal RNA is filed under the name uncultured bacterium. RNAcentral describes it as "partial 16S ribosomal RNA". It matches the Rfam family "Bacterial small subunit ribosomal RNA", at positions 30 to 522 of the family's 1533-position model. The record is from RNAcentral.
AUUGAACGCUGGCGGCAGGCCUAACACAUGCAAGUCGAGCGGAUGAGAGGAGCUUGCUUCUCGAUUCAGCGGCGGACGGGUGAGUAAUGCCUAGGAAUCUGCCUGGUAGUGGGGGACAACGUUUCGAAAGGAACGCUAAUACCGCAUACGUCCUACGGGAGAAAGCAGGGGACCUUCGGGCCUUGCGCUAUCAGAUGAGCCGAGGUCGGAUUAGCUAGUUGGUGAGGUAAUGGCUCACCAAGGCGACGAUCCGUAACUGGUCUGAGAGGAUGAUCAGUCACACUGGAACUGAGACACGGUCCAGACUCCUACGGGAGGCAGCAGUGGGGAAUAUUGGACAAUGGGCGAAAGCCUGAUCCAGCCAUGCCGCGUGUGUGAAGAAGGUCUUCGGAUUGUAAAGCACUUUAAGUUGGGAGGAAGGGUUGUAGAUUAAUACUCUGCAAUUUUGACGUUACCGACAGAAUAAGCACCGGCUAACUCUGUGCCAGCCGCCGCCGUA